AGUGAACGCUGGCGGUAGGCCUAACACAUGCCAGUCGAACGGCAGCACAGUAAGAGCUUGCUCUUACGGGUGGCGAGUGGCGGACGGGUGAGGAAUACAUCGGAAUCUACUUUUUCGUGGGUGAUAACGUAGGGAAACUUACGCUAAUACCGCAUACGACCUACGGGUGAAAGCAGGGGAUCUUCGGACCUUGCGCGAUUGAAUGAGCCGAUGUCGGAUUAGCUAGUUGGCGGGGUAAAGGCCCACCAAGGCGACGAUCCGUAGCUGGUCUGAGAGGAUGAUCAGCCACACUGGAACUGAGACACGGUCCAGACUCCUACGGGAGGAAGCAGUGGGGAAUAUUGGACAAUGGGCGCAAGCCUGAUCCAGCCAUACCGCGUGGGUGAAGAAGGCCUUCGGGUUGUAAAGCCCUUUUGUUGGGAAAGAAAAGCAGCAGGUUAAUACCCCGCUGUUCUGACGGUACCCAAAGAAUAAGCACCGGCUAACUUCGUG
Molecule: ribosomal RNA, 492 nt
Filed under: uncultured bacterium
Lineage: Bacteria
Description: partial 16S ribosomal RNA
Rfam family: Bacterial small subunit ribosomal RNA
Source: RNAcentral